CGGGGACUGGCUCAGUGGCAGAGCGCUCGCUUGGGGUGCGAGAGGUCGAGGGUUCGAUUCCCUCGUCCCCGA
RNAcentral lists this transfer RNA (72 nucleotides) under Elusimicrobia bacterium CG1_02_63_36. RNAcentral describes it as "tRNA-Pro". It matches the Rfam family "tRNA". From Rfam's summary of the family: Transfer RNA (tRNA) molecules are approximately 80 nucleotides in length. Lineage: Bacteria; Pseudomonadati; Elusimicrobiota. RNAcentral also lists the same sequence under 3 other names. The record is from RNAcentral.